This 566-nucleotide long non-coding RNA is filed under the name Struthio camelus australis. RNAcentral's name for it is "lncRNA (ENSSCUG00000001409.1)". Lineage: Eukaryota; Metazoa; Chordata; Aves; Struthioniformes; Struthionidae. The record is from RNAcentral.
GUUAGAUAUAACAAGAGCACUAAGCGCCAAUAAACAAGGUGGGGGAGAUCAGGGAAGGACGAGUGAUGAAAACCUGGGGAACCGCUUAUGUCCGUCUUUUGGCAGCUUCGCUGAAAUUUAUCCGCCGGAAACCAGUGCAUGAAAUCAGGGCCAGGAGGGAGGAAGCGCCGUUGUCCCGAGGGAGCAUGUCCCCGCUGAUCCCCGAUCUUAUAUUAGUAGAGGUUAACCUGAUGGAUUCUGACCUCUGGGUUCUCAUUCUUUGACGAUCUGAGAUUAGGAGAAUUUGAGCUUGAUACAACACUUGGAGUAAAAACUGUGGAGGUAUCAGAUUUUUCCUUAAUUAUAUUUCCGUUUUGUCUAGCAGUGGUCUUUUUUCUGUAUUCUUUCCCAUUGAUAAGUGCUGUAUAGUUUGUAAAGAGUGCUGCAGCUGACCGUUGUUCUGUGCUGGAAGUAUCCACAGGCAACAUAUUGCAAAGUAGCAUAUUCGUCUGCCCAUGGAAGUGCCCCAGUGUGAAACUAAAACUUUUGCAAAUAAAAGAUAUAUUUAAUUUGUAUGGAGUGCCUAA